GCCGAAGUGGUGAAAUUGGUAGACGCGCUGCGUUCAGGGCGCAGUUCUCGCAAGGGAGUGGGGGUUCGAGUCCCCCCUUCGGCA
This 84-nucleotide transfer RNA is filed under the name bacterium. RNAcentral describes it as "tRNA-Leu". It matches the Rfam family "tRNA". Rfam says of the family: Transfer RNA (tRNA) molecules are approximately 80 nucleotides in length. The record is from RNAcentral. RNAcentral also lists the same sequence under 2 other names.